RNAcentral lists this ribosomal RNA (494 nucleotides) under uncultured bacterium. Its description in RNAcentral is "partial 16S ribosomal RNA". It matches the Rfam family "Bacterial small subunit ribosomal RNA", at positions 28 to 507 of the family's 1533-position model. The record is from RNAcentral.
GACGAACGCUGGCGGCGCGCUUAACACAUGCAAGUCGAACGGAAAGGCCUGCUUUCCCUUGUGGAUUGCGGGUACUCGAGUGGCGAACGGGUGAGUAACACGUGAGUGAUCUGCCCCCAACUUGGGUAUAAGCCUGGGAAACUGGGUCUAAUUCCCGAUAGGACUGCAGGGUGGUGCCUGUGGUGGAAAACGAUUUUCUAGUGGUUGGGGAUGAGCUCGCGGCCUAUCAGCUUGUUGGUGGGGUAAUGGCCUACCAAGGCGGCGACGGGUAGCCGGCCUGAGAGGGUGGACGGCCACAUUGAGACUGAGAUACGGCCCAGACUCCUACGGGAGGCAGCAGUGGGGAAUAUUGCACAAUGGGCGGAAGCCUGAUGCAGCGACGCCGCGUGGAGGAUGACGGCCUUCGGGUUGUAAACUCCUUUCGACCGCGAGGAAGCCACCUGGUUGGAAGGGUGGUGACGGUAGUGGUAGAAGAAGCACCGGCUAACUACGUG